This 230-nucleotide ribosomal RNA is filed under the name Microstomus pacificus (Dover sole). RNAcentral describes it as "partial 16S ribosomal RNA". The record is from RNAcentral. Lineage: Eukaryota; Metazoa; Chordata; Actinopteri; Pleuronectiformes; Pleuronectidae.
AUGGAGCUUUAGACACACAGGUGGCCCAUGUCAAACACCCCCUGCCAAGGGCCUGAACUAAAUGGAACCUGCCUUGAUGUCUUCGGUUGGGGCGACCAUGGGGAAUACAAAACCCCCACGUGGAAAGGGAGCACACCCCUAAGUUACUUCUUCUCCCGCAAGCCAGAGCAACAGCUCUAACCAGCAGAAAUUCUGACCAAACUGAUCCGGUAAAACCGAUCAACGAACCA